This 118-nucleotide non-coding RNA is filed under the name Peptoclostridium litorale. Its description in RNAcentral is "Clostridium litorale MoCo sequence". It matches the Rfam family "Molybdenum/Tungsten riboswitch aptamer (Moco RNA motif)". The record is from RNAcentral. Lineage: Bacteria; Bacillati; Bacillota; Clostridia; Peptostreptococcales; Peptoclostridiaceae. RNAcentral also lists the same sequence under 1 other name.
UAUAUUCCGGUUUUCCGAGCUAGUGAGUCUAAAGGUUUUCCACGACCAACUAGCCUAUGGGUCAUGGGAGAAAUCCCGCGGCCUCCCGCAUUUGGAAAGGAAAAUCUUGACCUGAUUU